RNAcentral lists this ribosomal RNA (253 nucleotides) under uncultured bacterium. Its description in RNAcentral is "partial 16S ribosomal RNA". It matches the Rfam family "Bacterial small subunit ribosomal RNA", at positions 524 to 776 of the family's 1533-position model. The record is from RNAcentral.
UACGUAGGGUGCAAGCGUUAAUCGGAAUUACUGGGCGUAAAGCGCACGCAGGCGGUCUGUUAAGUCAGAUGUGAAAUCCCCGGGCUUAACCUGGGAACUGCAUUUGAAACUGGCAGGCUUGAGUCUUGUAGAGGGGGGUAGAAUUCCAGGUGUAGCGGUGAAAUGCGUAGAGAUCUGGAGGAAUACCGGUGGCGAAGGCGGCCCCCUGGACAAAGACUGACGCUCAGGUGCGAAAGCGUGGGGAGCAAACAGG